This 62-nucleotide transfer RNA is filed under the name Leclercia adecarboxylata. It matches the Rfam family "tRNA", at positions 7 to 64 of the family's 71-position model. Rfam says of the family: Transfer RNA (tRNA) molecules are approximately 80 nucleotides in length. Their secondary structure includes four short double-helical elements and three loops (D, anti-codon, and T loops). Lineage: Bacteria; Pseudomonadati; Pseudomonadota; Gammaproteobacteria; Enterobacterales; Enterobacteriaceae. The record is from RNAcentral.
CUUAGCUCAGUUGGAUAGAGCAACGGCCUUCUAAGCCGUAGGUCAAAGGUUCGAAUCCUUUA